This 550-nucleotide long non-coding RNA is filed under the name Homo sapiens (human). RNAcentral describes it as "HSALNT0007467". Lineage: Eukaryota; Metazoa; Chordata; Mammalia; Primates; Hominidae. The record is from RNAcentral.
CAAAAAAUGGUGGGUUUGAUCCAAGCAAGGAAACAGAGUCUAAGUUCAUUGAUUCAGCACUCAUUUACUGAGGUCUAUCAUGAGCCAGGCUGGGUGCUGGGGACACAUAGUGAAUAGACCUCAGUCUCUGCCCUUGUGGUGCUCAAAUCCAGAGGAGAGGGCAGGCAAGACCACCAGGAACCAACAGAGAGAGAGAAAAAGAGGAGUAUGGCUGGUAGCAGAGGAAGGGGAAGACAGAGAGAUUCAACUGGCUUGAAGAUGGAAAAAAUGGACCACUUGAGAAGAAAUGUGGGCAACCUCUAAGAACAUUGGUGCCCCCCUGGCUUGACAGCCAGCAAGGAACCAAGGACCACAGAUGCAACCCGAAGGAACUGGAUUCUGCCAGUGAUCUGAACUAGCUUGGAAGUGGAUUCUACUUCUGAACCUCCAGAUAAGAGCCCAGCCAAGGUGACACCCUGAUUUUGCCUGGUGAGUCCCUGAGCAGGGAGCUCCUCUGAGCCUGUCUGGACUGAGAACCUGCAGAAGAACUGUGAGCUAAUAAAUGAAGGUU